CUGACAGAUCUGACCAGGAGCUGUCUGCCCGCCCAGGUGAAGUGGACCGAGGAGACAGAGAAAACCUUCCAGGACCUGGAGGAGAGCCCAGUGUUCUUCCCCACAGCCGUGAUGCUUCAGGCCCCUUUAUGGACGUGUGAGUGGGGGCCAGAGGAGUCAGACAAGGAGAUAACAGAGAUGACCCUAUCAAGCAUCCCUGUUGACAUGGUCUCAAAGGCCACACAAACCAAAACAGGAUGUCAUCUAAGCCCAUCCCAAUUUCAAGGCAGCUCUUCAACCAGCAGCUGAACCUGUCUCAGAGGGAGGCAGUGAAGCAUAUCCUGGCAGGGGAGUGCCGGCCCAUCCAGUACAUCCUGUUUGGAUCCCCAGGGACAGGAAAGAUGAUCCCCCUCAUGGAGGCCAUACUGCAGUGUUGCUGACCUCAUCUGUAUCCAGCUCCAUGACAGUGGGUUCCUGCACGCUUACGAGCCUGGCCCGCGUCAACACCUCCUGUUGAUAGGAAGAGGUACUGCACCCACCGCCACCGCCUCGAUCCUAUUUUCUCUACCAGUUUAUGCCUCUGUCUGUAUCUCCUGUAGGCCAUCCCUGAGAUUAUAAGGCAGUACUCUUGGGCUGGGAAGGACAUCCGACAUGCUUCCUUCGACAGGUUCGUGGUCAGCACCUGUACCAGCGCUGGCAUGUUCUACCAGGUUGGGCCAAGAAGAUAACAAGGCCCUUAUGUUAAAGGUCCAAUGCAGCCAUUUUUACCUCAAUAUCAAAUCAUUUCUGGGUAAAAAUGAAAGUACCUUACUGUGAUUGUUUUCAAUUAAAAUGGUCAAAAAGAAACAAAAAUAGCUUCUUAGAGAAGAGCAAUUUCUCAAGCAAGAAUUUUGCUAGGACUGUCGGGGAGCUGUCUGAGUGUGGAGAAAAUGGAAAACUAGCUGUUAUUGGAAAAGGUUUGGUCUAUUGGUCUAUUAAGAAAACUCCUUCCCAUCAAAACAGGCUGAAAUUUCAGGCCAUCUUUUCAAACAGUUCUUACAGUAAAAGUGCAGUAUCAUAAUUUUCAUGCAUUGGAAGAACUACUCUGAAGAUGAUCACAAUACAACGUGUAUUAAAAUAAUGAAAGCUUUUGUUUUUCCCUCAGUGUGGCAUUGGUCCCCCUAGGGCUUCUGUCAGAGAGAGACGGACAGGUUAGACUAAACAGAGUACACUACAACCACAAAAACACCUGGAACACCCUUACUAAAGUGGUGCAACCGUUGAAAAAACAUUGCACAUCACAAAACUGACAGAAGUAAUAACAGUCACUGUAUUUUGUGGCCUCUUGAUCAAAAAGUUAAUCAUAUGUUCUGUUGCUACCCCCACCUUUCACAUAGUUCUGUCUGGAGACCCCAGGCAGAUGGGUCCAAUUGUGAAGACCAAGCUGGCGCAGGCAUUGGGCCAUGGGGUGUCCAUGCUGGAGAGACUGAUGGCCAACCCCCUGUACACAAGAGAGAGUGGGGGAUACAAAGCACACCGCACACACACACACACACACACACACACACACACACACACACACACACACACACACACACACACACACACACACACACACACACACACACACACACACACACACACACACACACACACACACACACACACACACACACACACACACACACACACACACACACACACUCCCUGUCAGUGCCAUGGUCAUCUAAAUCAUGCACAGUGAGUCACCAACUGAAUCCAGAUGAUGCAUCUUUAUCAACAUAAUGUUUUGACUUGCAUUGUAAUAUAAUAUAUGAUAAUAUAUGCCAUUUAAUAACAGACACUUUUAUUCAAAGUGACGUAUGGGUGGCCCCAGCGGAAAUCGAGCCCACAACGCUAGGCUUUGCAAGCACCAUAUUCUACCGACUGAGCCACACAGGAUCACAUUGUAAAUAAAUGGCUCCAAAGAUUAUUGCAUUCUCAUGGUGUCCUCUCUUCUCCCUCCAGGUGCCCAAGCUGGUGUAUAACUACCGUUCCCAGGAGGCCUUCCUGGCCCUGCCCUUUAGACUGUUUUACAGUGGGGAGCUGUGUGUCAGGGCCCAGAGGGCCGUCUGCCCAUCAAGGGAUUCCAUGGAGUCAGGAUGAGGGCUCUAUCUGUUUCUCUCGCUAUGUUUCUUUCUGUCUUUCUCUGUCCAAAAUAGACUCAAGUCAAUGGGAUCUUUCUCAAAAGUCUUUCCUUGAAUCCUUGUGGGAUUCCGCUGGGAUUCUCUGCCUCUGACCCUAUUACGGGGGCUGAGUCACUGGUUUACUGGUGCUCAUCCAUGCUGUCCCUAGGAGGGGUGCGUCACUUGAGUGGGUUGAGUCUCUGACGUGAUCUCCCUGUCCGGGUUGGCGCCCCCCUCGGGUUCGUGCCAUGUGGGAGAUUUUCGUGGGCUAUACUCGGCUUUGUCCCAGGGUAGUAAGUUGGUGGUUGAAGAUAUCCCUCUAGUGGUGUGUGGACUGUGCUUUGGCAAAGUGGGUGGGCUUAUAUCCUGCCUGGUUGGCCCUGCCCGGAGGUAUAGUCGGACGGGGCCACAGUGUCUCCCGACCCCUCCUGUCUCAGCCUCCAGUAAUUAUGCUGCAAUAGUUUAUGUGUCGAGGGACUAGGGUCAGUCUGUUAUAUCUGGAGUAUUUCUCCUGUCUUAUCCAGUGUCCUGUGUGAAUUUAAGUAUGCUCCCUAUAAUUCUCUCUCUCUCUUUCUCGUUCUUUCUCUUUCUUUCUCUUUCUCUUCUCUCGGGGGACCUGAGCCCUAGGACCAUGCCUCAGGACUACCUGGCUUGUUGACUCCUUGCUGUCCCCAGUCCACCUGGUCGUGCUGCUGCUCCAGUUUCAACUGUUUUGCCUGCGGCUAUGGAACCCUGACCUGUUCACCGGACGUUCUACCUUGUCCCGGACCUGCUGUUUUCGACUCACUCUCUCUACCACACCUGCUGUCUCUAACUGAAUGAUCGGCUAUGAAAAGCCAACUGACAUUUACUCCUGAGGUGCUGACCUGUUGCACCCUCUACAACCACUGUGAUUAUUAUUAUUUGAUCUAUGAAGGUUUGAACAUCUUGGCCAUGUACUGUUAUAAUCUCCACCCGGCAGAGCCAGAAGAGGACCGGCCACCCCUCAGAGCCUGGUUCCUCUCUAGGUUUCUUCCUAGGUUCCCUCCUUUCUAGGGAGUUUUUCUUAGCCACCGUGCUUCUACAUCUGCAUUGCUUGCUGUUUGGGGUUGUGAAAAGGGCUUUAUAAAUACAUUUCAUUGAUUGA
This is a long non-coding RNA of Salvelinus fontinalis (brook trout), 3249 nucleotides long. RefSeq lists it as uncharacterized. NCBI's taxonomy places the organism in Eukaryota, Metazoa, Chordata, Actinopteri, Salmoniformes, Salmonidae. The transcript is spliced from 4 exons. The record is from RefSeq and is a predicted model, not a curated record.